RNAcentral lists this long non-coding RNA (612 nucleotides) under Homo sapiens (human). Its description in RNAcentral is "HSALNT0360478". Lineage: Eukaryota; Metazoa; Chordata; Mammalia; Primates; Hominidae. The record is from RNAcentral.
UCACAAUGACACAGAUGUCCUGUGUACAUCACAGCAAGGGCUCAUCACCCAUGGGUAGGUAAAGAAGAGGCAUGGAGGUGAAUGCAGGCAGCAGCUUUCAGGGAAGAAGAAGCAUCAGGCUGCAGACCUUGCCUCCUCCCUGCCCUGAUGGCAGGACUGAGGCCUCCCAGGGAUGAAGAAACUGAGGCUGAGGCAGUUCAACAACUUGCCCAAGGCCACGCAGCAGGAGGAGGGGCAGGAAAGAAGCCAAAUGUCUCUCACAAUAAGAAAAGCCCAUCAUCUGCAAGAUCAUCCUCAGGCACAGGGCAGGCUGGAUCUCCUCCCAAAUUGCAUGCUCCAUGCCAAAGAGGUCAAGCCACCAAAUGACACUGACUUCCUGCCUUUAAGAGCUUUAUCUCUGCGGACCUGGAGCUGCUGGUCACCAUGGAAACAGAAGCUUUUGUUCACCACUUCCUCUUCUCUUUUUCUCGCUCCCCACCCCUCGUCUUUCCUUCCUCUCCUCACACCCACUUGCCCUCCUCUCUACUUUCUUUCCUCUAUUUUUAUUCCUAAUUUUCUAUCUCACUUGCCCUGAUUUCCUCAUCUAUUUAUUUAAAACUUAUUUAAAUUUUA